Molecule: transfer RNA, 71 nt
Filed under: Eragrostis curvula (weeping love grass)
Lineage: Eukaryota; Viridiplantae; Streptophyta; Magnoliopsida; Poales; Poaceae
Description: tRNA tRNA-Arg
Rfam family: tRNA
About the family: Transfer RNA (tRNA) molecules are approximately 80 nucleotides in length.
Source: Rfam by way of RNAcentral
CAUGAAGUAGUCCAGUGGUAAGUCUCUUGCUUCCUAAACUAGAGGUUGGGGUUCAAGUCUCCACUUUGUCA